Molecule: ribosomal RNA, 496 nt
Filed under: uncultured bacterium
Lineage: Bacteria
Description: partial 16S ribosomal RNA
Rfam family: Bacterial small subunit ribosomal RNA
Source: RNAcentral
GAUGAACGCUGGCGGCGUGCCUAACCAAUGCAGGUCGACCAACAGACGAGGAGCUUUCUUCUCUGACCUUAGGGGGGGACGGGGGAGUAACCCGGGGAAAACCUACCUUUAAGACUGGGUAAAAUUCGGGAAACCGGGGCCAAAACCGGAAAAAAAUAUUGACCCCAUGGGUUAAUUGGUAAAAUUGGGUUUUUUGGUAUUUACUGAAGGAUUCGCGCCGCAUUAGCUAGUUGGUUAGGUAACGGCUUACCAAGGCAACGAUGCGUAGCCGACCUGAGAGGGUGAUCGGCCACACUGGAACUGAGACACGGUCCAGACUCCUACGGGAGGCAGCAGUAGGGAAUCUUCCGCAAUGGGCGAAAGCUUGACGGAGCAACGCCGCGUGAGUGAUGAAGGUCUUCGGAUCGUAAAACUCUGUUAUUAGGGAAGAACAAAUGUGUAAGUAACUAUGCACGUCUUGACGGUACCUAAUCAGAAAGCCACGGCUAACUACGUG